UGUGGAACGACUUUCAUCUGGAUAUUCUAGGGAAGACGCUUUAUAAGCCAUCCUGUGGAUUUCAUCCUAAUCAAAGACAUACAGUUCUGAAGAUACAUAGACCUCGCCGUAUUUACUGAAAUACGCAUCACAGGUACAAAUACACAAACAUUUAGUAGACGUGUAUCAUGCUGUCAAACAUAGUCCUUUCUUCUUACUCGUGUAUUAGCCUUUGUUCAUUUACUCAUAUAGGCAUUGAAGUUUUGUGGAGUGCCAGUUGUGUCCUGGGCACUAUGCUGUAUUGAGGGAACACCAGCAGUCAAGGCAGACAUAUUGUCUACCUUCAUGUA
Long non-coding RNA from Camelus dromedarius (Arabian camel), 329 nucleotides. RefSeq lists it as uncharacterized. The transcript is spliced from 3 exons. NCBI's taxonomy places the organism in Eukaryota, Metazoa, Chordata, Mammalia, Artiodactyla, Camelidae. The record is from RefSeq and is a predicted model, not a curated record.